This 107-nucleotide small nuclear RNA is filed under the name Castor canadensis (American beaver). The record is from RNAcentral. Lineage: Eukaryota; Metazoa; Chordata; Mammalia; Rodentia; Castoridae.
GUGCUCGCUUUGGCAGCACACAUACUAAAACUGGAACGAUACAGAGAAGAUUAGCAUGGUCCCUGUGCAAGAAUGACAUGCAAAUUUGUGAAGCAUUCCAUAAAAAA